UACGUAGGUGACAAGCGUUGUCCGGAUUUACUGGGCGUAAAGAGCGCGCAGGCGGUCGUUCAAGUCGAGUGUGAAAGCCCCCGGCUCAACUGGGGAGGGUCACUCGAUACUGAUCGACUCGAAGGCAGGAGAGGGAAGUGGAAUUCCCGGUGUAGAGGUGAAAUUCGUAGAUAUCGGGAGGAACACCAGUGGCGAAGGCGGCGAUCUGGGAAGAUACUGACGCUGAGGUGCGAAAGCGUGGGGAGCAAACAGG
This 253-nucleotide ribosomal RNA is filed under the name uncultured bacterium. RNAcentral's name for it is "partial 16S ribosomal RNA". It matches the Rfam family "Bacterial small subunit ribosomal RNA", at positions 524 to 776 of the family's 1533-position model. The record is from RNAcentral.